AACUUCUGAAUGUUGACCUCGGAUCAGGUAGGAAUACCCGCUGAACUUAAGCAUAUCAAUAAGCGGAGGAAAAGAAACCAACAGGGAUUGCCCUAGUAACGGCGAGUGAAGCGGCAACAGCUCAAAUUUGAAAUCUGGCUCUCGGGCCCGAGUUGUAAUUUGUAGAGGAUGCUUUUGAUGCGGUGCCUUCCGAGUUCCCUGGAACGGGACGCCAUAGAGGGUGAGAGCCCCGUCUGGUUGGAUGCCAAAUCUCUGUAAAGCUCCUUCGACGAGUCGAGUAGUUUGGGAAUGCUGCUCUAAAUGGGAGGUAUAUGUCUUCUAAAGCUAAAUACCGGCCAGAGACCGAUAGCGCACAAGUAGAGUGAUCGAAAGAUGAAAAGCACUUUGAAAAGAGAGUUAAAAAGUACGUGAAAUUGUUGAAAGGGAAGCGUUUAUGACCAGACUUGGGCUUGGUUAAUCAUCUGGGGUUCUCCCCAGUGCACUUUUCCAGUCCAGGCCAGCAUCAGUUUUCGCCGGGGGAUAAAGGCUUCGGGAAUGUGGCUCUCUUCGGGGAGUGUUAUAGCCCGUUGCGUAAUACCCUGGCGGGGACUGAGGUUCGCGC
RNAcentral lists this ribosomal RNA (601 nucleotides) under Fusarium sp. NRRL 52686. RNAcentral's name for it is "eukaryotic LSU rRNA". It matches the Rfam family "Eukaryotic large subunit ribosomal RNA", at positions 1 to 600 of the family's 3401-position model. The record is from RNAcentral. Lineage: Eukaryota; Fungi; Ascomycota; Sordariomycetes; Hypocreales; Nectriaceae.